CCUCCGUGGGCAUAACCGCAGUAUAUAAAUGAUGCUGAAGACAGGCAAAAGCUCUGACAAGACUUUGAUCCUUCUUCAAGGCCUGGGAAUAACCUCAGGCAGCCAGGACCUGCUCUGCCUGUGGGGCUCACAGAUUGCAUGAAGUGCAAGGAUGAGCUGAAAGUGUGGCUCUGAAGCAGCAACUGAUGGGACAACUCUGAGGUCAUCU
This 208-nucleotide long non-coding RNA is filed under the name Homo sapiens (human). RNAcentral's name for it is "HSALNT0379739". The record is from RNAcentral. Lineage: Eukaryota; Metazoa; Chordata; Mammalia; Primates; Hominidae.